GCCAAACAGCUAGCUCAAACAUUUAGACAACCCUACAACAUUAAUGACAAAACAUCAUUUUAAUAAGUAAACUAAACCAUUCUUUUACCUGAGUAUGGGAGACAGAAAAGGUUAAACCUGUAGCAAUAGAGAAAGUACCGCAAGGGAAAGCUGAAAGAGAAAUGAAACAACCCAUUAAAGCAGAAAAAAGCAAAGACUAAACCCUGUACCUUUUGCAUCAUGAUUUAGCAAGCACCUCCAAGCAAAGAGUCCUUUAGUUUGGAACCCCGAAACCAAGUGAGCUACCCCGAGACAGCCUAAACAACUUAGGGCAAACCCGUCUCUGUGGCAAAAGAGUGGGAAGAACUCCGGGUAGAAGUGAUAGACCUACCGAACUUGGUGAUAGCUGGUUGCUUAAGAAAUGGAUAGAAGUUCAGCCUCAUAUUCCCUAAGCCAAAACAAUUUAUUACGAUACGACUAAGAGUAAAUUACGAGAGUUAGUUAAAGGGGGUACAGCCCCUUUAACAAAGGACACAACCUUAACAGGAGAAUAAAGAUCAUAAUUCACAAAACUCACUGUUUUAGUGGGCCCAAAGGCAGCCACCUAGAUAGAAAGCGUUAAAGCUCAGACAGACAAUAGUUUAUUAUACCGAUAAAAAAUCUUAUUUCCCUAGAAUUAUUAAGCUAAUCCAUGCCCCCAUGGAAGAAAUUAUGCUAAAAUGAGUAACAAGAAGGCCCGCCCUUCUCCCAGCACAAGUGUAAGUCAGAUCGGACAACCCACUGAAAACUAACGAACCCAAGCCAAGAGGGCAGUGCGAACAACAAAAAAAUCAAGAAGACCCCGCAAUUUAAACAUCGUUAACCCCACACUGGAGUGCACAUUAAGGGAAAGACUAAAAGAAGAGGAAGGAACUCGGCAAACACAAGCCUCGCCUGUUUACCAAAAACAUCGCCUCCUGCGACUUAUAUGUAUAGGAGGUCCAGCCUGCCCAGUGACUACGGGUUCAACGGCCGCGGUAUUUUGACCGUGCAAAGGUAGCGCAAUCACUUGUCUUUUAAAUAAAGACCUGUAUGAAUGGCCAAACGAGGGCUUAACUGUCUCCCCCUUCAAGUCAGUGAAAUUGAUCUAUCCGUGCAGAAGCGGGUAUAAAGAUACAAGACGAGAAGACCCUUUGGAGCUUAAGGUACAAAACUUAACUACGUUAAACAACUCAAUAAAAAGAUAAAAACUUAAUAGAACAUAAGAUUUUACCUUCGGUUGGGGCGACCACGGAGGAAAAAGAAGCCUCCAAGCGGAAAGGGCUAAUACCCUAAAACUAAGAGAUACAUCUCUAAGCCGCAGAACAUCUGACCAAUAAUGAUCCGGCAUAAAGCCGAUCAACGAACCAAGUUACCCUAGGGAUAACAGCGCAAUCCUCUCCCAGAGUCCAUAUCGACGAGGGGGUUUACGACCUCGAUGUUGGAUCAGGACAUCCUAAUGGUGCAGCCGCUAUUAAGGGUUCGUUUGUUCAACGAUUAAAGUCCUACGUGAUCUGAGUUCAGACCGGAGCAAUCCAGGUCAGUUUCUAUCUGUAACGCUACUUUUCCUAGUACGAAAGGAUCGGAAAAGGGGGGCCUAUGCUCAAAGCACGCCCCACCCCUAAUUAAUGAAAACAAAUAAAAUAAAUAAAGGGAGGGCCAAAACCCAACCUCCGAAAUAAGGACAU
This 1685-nucleotide ribosomal RNA is filed under the name Pseudorhodeus tanago (Tokyo bitterling). RNAcentral describes it as "16S rRNA". It matches the Rfam family "Bacterial large subunit ribosomal RNA". The record is from RNAcentral. Lineage: Eukaryota; Metazoa; Chordata; Actinopteri; Cypriniformes; Acheilognathidae.